Non-coding RNA from Rattus norvegicus (Norway rat), 437 nucleotides. The record is from RefSeq and is a predicted model, not a curated record. Lineage: Eukaryota; Metazoa; Chordata; Mammalia; Rodentia; Muridae.
UUAAUAAAGUGGGUGAGGCGCUGAAAGGCCCAAGGACCAAAGGAAAUCAACAGAAGCAGGGCCACAAGGGGUCCUAAAAUCGAAGGCAACAGGGGCCGCGUGAACCUUUUCUUGAGGCAUGGAACACUGAUCGAUCCAGACUGGAUCAUUUGACUUCCAAGAUAUUUUAUCAGCCUGGAGUGCAGGACAAACAGCGGUCUCUAUGAAAAAAGGUCAGGAGCUUUGAGCUUUGGAGUGUAUCCUGUGUUUGACCUCUCCCUUUUAAAUGUGUGGCGGUAGCCUUAAGGGGCCAGGUUGAGGGCCAGUGUCUAGAGGAGAGCACUGUUGUAUCCGCCCCCGUAUCUAAAAGGCCCUGAAAUUGUUUGCCAUCGAGCCAAAGAGACAUCAUGGGUCUUUCAUCAGUUAAUUUUUGAACCCAAUAAACAUCUGAAGAGCCA